CAGGGGCAGGAGGGACACCAGGGACAGGAGAGACAGCAGGGAUGGGAGGGACAGAAGCCCUGCUCACCCUGCACUGGCACAGCGCCUUGCUAAGGAUGCUAAGUGCUCCCACCCUUCCUAUGCAGUCCCAUGUUGUGAAAUUCCAAAGUGCCGCAGACGUAGUUUCCUCCCAGCCUGAAUGCUCCAGCUGAAGUCUUCCCAGGGCAGGAUAAACAGCCGUGCUGCCUGCCUGCCUGGGCGUUAGGCCUGUGAGCUCAGGGCGCAGUGGAAGCUCCGCUGGCAGAGGCUGCAGCUGCAGGUCUUUUUGAUGAGGAAGUCUCCCCGAGUUUUGUACCGCUGCAGUUUCAUCUUGAUGGUUUUGUUUAAGCCGUACCCUGCUGCUUAGAAAAAGCGCCUACGGGCAGCAGCUUUCAGGUCUUUCCACACGUCCUCAACGGGAUUCCAGUCAGGCCUUUGACUGGGCCGCUAGCUAGAGGGGCAGGCAGAGCCUUCCUGGUGGUGAUGAUGAAGAGGAUGUGUGUAUAUCUGUAAGUCCAGCCCAGCCAGGGGAUCAGUCAGUCUUCCUCAUGGUUAAAGGAUGAGGGUGAUGAUGAGGAAGGUGAUGAUGAAGAGGAUGUCUGUAUUUCUGUAAGUCCAGCCCAGCCAGGGGAUCAGUCAGAGUCUUCCUCAUGGUUAGAGGAUGAGGGUGAUGAUGAGGAGGGUGAUGAUGAAGAGGAUGUGUGUAUAUCUGUAAGUCCAGCCCAGCCAGGGGACCGGUCAGAGUCUUCCUCAUGGUUAGAGGAUGAGGGUGAUGAUGAGGAGGGCGAUCCAGUUCACCUUCCUCAGCCUUUAGCCAUGAGUGUGUGGAGCAACCUGUGGAGCCGGAUGAGACCCCCAGACCAAUUCUGCACAGACAGACCGGACGACUCAGAUGGGCCACAUUAAAGACCUUCCGAUGUUCUUAUCUGGCAUCUGCUACAGAGCCGCCUCACCCGAGAGCUUCAGAGGAGCGCCCACACAACAGAGCAUGAGGGCCGUGUAUCCAGCAGGAGCCUGCAAACUGACCGAGACUGACCAGUCCACCUCUCAGGUGCUGCACUUCGCAUGCGAUGACCUGCACUAGGACAGGAUGUCUGCUUAAAUUUCUUUUUGGGAAUCUCCUGACCUUUUAAACUUGCUCUGCGCCUGGUGUCGACUCGGCCUUAGAAGCCGUUUCCCAGGAAUCUUCGUGGAAAUGAGCAGGUGAGAUUCGGGGACAAGCCACCGAGCUCCUCCGACUUUGGGCUCUCUGGCUCUGAUGGACUUCGGCGUGAUCGAUGCUGUUCUCAUCGCCAUCCCCACUCCUGCGGCACAAUGGCUCCUGCGUUUCCUGCACAGCCGGGGGAAGCAGUGAGCUCUGUUAAGUAUGUUCAGAGCCAGUCUGGACACUUAAUAUUUCAUGAGACAAAUGUGUACGGUGAAUCUUUGAUGAGGACUAAUUGGCCCAUAUGGUCAGGGAGUCUCCUUGCUGCAGACCUGCCUGGGGUCUCCUGGGACGCUGGCGUGAAGAACGGCGUUCUUGCCGGUUUUGCACAUGGUUUUACCAGGCUUCUGUUAUGCAUUGAGCUUCCUUUUGCAACACUGUGCCACCACUACAGUACAGUAUAUCUCCCUGUUUUUACCCUUGUGUGACUGUGCUUUACAGGUUUACGUUGCAUCCAGCAGAAUUCAGUUGUGGUUUGCUGUGCCACCACUCUGAUUUCACUGUGCUUUUACUCCAAUUCCACAAUGGUUUAUUGUGUUGUACCCUGCCUUUACUCUUCUUCAUUGCAUUUUACUGUGCAUUUACCCUGUUUUCCCUUUUUUUUACUUCACUUGACAGUGCUUUCACCCUGAUUUCACUGUGCUACACUGCACUGUCCUGUGUUUUUACCCUGAUUUCACUGUGCUUUACUGCACUGUCCUAUGUUUUUAUUCUGAUUUCACUGUGCUACACUGCACUGUCCUGUUUUUAUUCUGAUUUCACUGUGCUACACUGCACUGCCCUGUGCUUUUACCCUGAUUUCACUGUGCUUUACUGCACUGUCCUGUGGUUUAAUUCUGAUUUCACUGUGCUUUACUGCACCGCCCUGUGCUUUUACCCUGAUUCCACUGUGCUUUACUGCACUGUCCUGUGGUUUAAUUCUGAUUUCACUGUUCUUUACUACACUUGACUGUGCUUUUACUAUACUAUUCCACAGAAACUCUUUACAAGGGUCCCCAGUGACAAUAUCAGCUGACAGUACAGAAAGGCGCAGACACAUUGGGAGAGGCAGGAACAAGCUCUAGACAUGCAGCCCGGCCUGCAACAGCCCGGAGAUGAGCUUCAUCGCCCCAGCGGCCAGCCAAUCGUCAAGAUGAUGGGGGCUCAUAUUACCCUGGCGACCAGACUAGUUGUCAUGGCAAGGAGCCCUCAUCGCCCCCGGCGAACCAGCCCGUGAACAUUCCCCGCUGAUGACAUCAUGCUGCCAGCCGCUGUUGGAAAAGGAGUGCAGAGAUGGGAGCCGGGAGUCGGAUUUGAGAGGGUGAGUGGACCUGGGAGCCGUCUGGAAGGAAUUGGAGCAAGCUCCAUCGCCUGCCUCCACGUGGGAUUGAGCUCAGCCUUCCGGUCAGGAGCCAGACGCCCUGCUGCCUGAGCUACCACUUCUCUGGGAGGUCCUGGACUAAAAAUAAUCUUGCGUGCAGGGGCCUGUGAACUGAAGGGACCGAAUCUCUAACGCGAGAUAAGAGGUUAAAAAAGUAUACUAAGGCCCUUCCUUUCACAAAGGGUGGCAGGUGUCUGGAACUACACUGUACACCGCGCUGCUGAAUUGGAUUCCUUUGGAUGGCGCUAGAGAGGUGGCCAGAAGCAGAGAGACAGAAACGCCACACUGCGGUACUGGAGUCUCUUCAGAAGUGUGUUUUUUUUGCUACCUGCUGCCUCCAUUCUGCUGCUUAAUCAAGGAGCAGACACGAUGGCGCCCCCCCCCACAACUCAAACACACACUUCAGAGGAAUGCCAGCUGUGUCUCAUGUAAGCCCCCUGGAGCUGAGUGGGCUCCCCAGUGCUGGUGCUGGAGGGGUGGAGUGAAACCCAGGCAUGUAGGCAUAUGGAGAGAGACAGGUUAUUCCGUGAGCUCUCCAGAGGGAGGCACAGAGAGGAAACAUGGGAGCAACAGCCUCACCAACAGCCCCCAAAACUGGAGAAGAACCCAGGACAGUAAUCCAGUUACUACACUACAAUCCAGUAAUCUAGUGGACUACACUGACACAGCACCAGCAACGCCUGCAGUAUAGCAACAAUGACAAGGGCACCACAGACCGGAGCAGAAUCAGGGGCUUUAGACUGUCACUGUCCAUGUGGACUACACUGACACAGCACCAGCAACAAUGACAACAGCAACAGCAUCAACCACUGCAACCCAGACAGCAACAGUACCACCCCAGCAACGGCAGAGGUAAAGAGCCACAACAACGCAGCAUCAACAGCAGUAAAACCCUGAAAACAACAGCAGCGAUAUUAACGGCAGCAACAACCUCAGCCUCUAGCCCAGCGAUGUCUCUAGAGACGCUCCCCUGUCUGCUGGGCCCGCCAGCCUCGGUGUUCAAAACAGGAAAGCUGGUGUUUAAUAAUUUGUGCUCAGGGUAAAAAAUGGAUGGGUCACUGAUAUAAAGAAAUAAAUAUCAAAGUAAAUACAAGUUGAAGAUAAAGAGAACUAAGAUAAAUAAGUUAAAAGUAAGAAUAGAUAAAUCCACCUUGAUUUUUAAUCUAUAGAGAAAAUAUUAUGCAUAUGAUAGAACUCCCACUGCAUGUACCUGUUCAGUACAUUAGACAGACAGAGAUGGGGAGAGAGAUAGGCAGAGACAGACAAUAAAUCACUUUUUUGGUCCGUUAACAGAUUGUCAGAUAAAAUGUAUUUACAGCACAUUCAUUCUUUAAAAAAGCAAUAAAAAAGCUCCAUUAUGGAACAAACCAAAAACACAUUAAGCCUGCAGAGCUACUGCAAGGAUACUUCUCUUUUAUC
Lepisosteus oculatus (spotted gar) is the source of this 4001-nucleotide non-coding RNA. The record is from RefSeq and is a predicted model, not a curated record. NCBI's taxonomy places the organism in Eukaryota, Metazoa, Chordata, Actinopteri, Semionotiformes, Lepisosteidae.